Paramuricea clavata is the source of this 283-nucleotide non-coding RNA. The record is from the annotation of a GenBank genome assembly. NCBI's taxonomy places the organism in Eukaryota, Metazoa, Cnidaria, Anthozoa, Malacalcyonacea, Plexauridae.
CAACCAUGGAUAUAGGAGAUCUAGAUUGCUGACGCAUACCUAGCGCAGGCGGGGCCUGCAUGAUAAAUCCAAGAUGGCGGUACAACAGGGCAGAAAACCAUUUGGUAUUCCUUUAAUAUUGUUUCUUUGUGACAUUCAGGUGUAAAGGUACGUCAUAUAGCGUGGAAUCCAACUUUUACUGACGUUGUUGCUGUCCUGUUGAUGGAUGGUCAGGUGAUUUUGGUUAAAUUGACUGGAACUGUAGCAACUGUGUCUGCAAGUCUUAAAGCAACAGCCACUGCCG